GGGGGGGCUGACGACCAACCCAACAGUUGGAGUGAGGUCCAGAUCACAUUCGGACACCCCAGGAGGUGGAGUGAACCUGAACUUCUGCAGGAGUGAGGUGAAGAAGAGGAAGAUCUCCAUCCUGGCCAGACUCU
Molecule: long non-coding RNA, 134 nt
Organism: Brienomyrus brachyistius
Lineage: Eukaryota; Metazoa; Chordata; Actinopteri; Osteoglossiformes; Mormyridae
Exons: 2
Source: RefSeq, a predicted model, not a curated record